RNAcentral lists this ribosomal RNA (440 nucleotides) under uncultured bacterium. Its description in RNAcentral is "partial 16S ribosomal RNA". It matches the Rfam family "Bacterial small subunit ribosomal RNA", at positions 338 to 795 of the family's 1533-position model. The record is from RNAcentral.
CCUACGGGUGGCAGCAGUGGGGAAUAUUGCACAAUGGGCGAAACCCUGAUGCAGCGACGCCGCGUGAGUGAAGAAUUACUUCGUUACGUAAAGCUCUAUCAGUAGGGAAGAAAAUUACGGUAUCUGAGUAAGAAGCUCUGGCUAACUACGUGCCAGCAGCCGCGGGAAUACGUAGGGGGCAAGCGUUAUCCGGAUUUACUGGGGGUAAAGGGAGCGUAGAGGGUUCGCCAAGUCUGUAGUGAAAUGCCGCAGCUUAACUGCGGAACUGCUUUGGAAACUGGCGAACUAGAGUGCGGGAGGGGUGAGCGGAAUUCCUAGUGUAGCGGUGAAAUGCGUAGAUAUUAGGAGGAACACCGGUGGCGAAGGCGGCUUACUGGACCGUAACUGACGUUGAGGCUCGAAAGCGUGGGGAGCAAACAGGAUUAGAUACCCGAGUAGUC